This 429-nucleotide ribosomal RNA is filed under the name Bacteroidota bacterium. Its description in RNAcentral is "Bacteroidetes bacterium partial 16S ribosomal RNA". It matches the Rfam family "Bacterial small subunit ribosomal RNA", at positions 355 to 776 of the family's 1533-position model. The record is from RNAcentral. Lineage: Bacteria; Pseudomonadati; Bacteroidota.
UAGGGAAUCUUCCGCAAUGGACGCAAGUCUGACGGAGCAACGCCGCGUGAGUGAAGAAGGAUUUCGGUUCGUAAAACUCUGUUGUUAGAGAAGAACAGCGCAUAGAGUAACUGUUAUGCGUGUGACGGUAUCUAACCAGAAAGCCACGGCUAACUACGUGCCAGCAGCCGCGGUAAUACGUAGGUGGCAAGCGUUGUCCGGAUUUAUUGGGCGUAAAGCGAGCGCAGGCGGUCAAUUAAGUCUGAUGUGAAAGCCCCCGGCUCAACCGGGGAGGGUCAUUGGAAACUGGUUGACUUGAGUGCAGAAGAGGAGAGUGGAAUUCCAUGUGUAGCGGUGAAAUGCGUAGUUAUAUGGAGGAACACCAGUGGCGAAGGCUACUCUCUGGUCUGUAACUGACGCUGAGGUUCGAAAGCGUGGGUAGCAAACAGG